AUUGAACGCUGGCGGCAUGCUUUACACAUGCAAGUCGAACGGUAACAGGCCGCAAGGUGCUGACGAGUGGCGAACGGGUGAGUAAUGCAUCGGAACGUGCCCAGUCGUGGGGGAUAACUACUCGAAAGAGUAGCUAAUACCGCAUACGAUCUAUGGAUGAAAGCGGGGGACCGGAAGGCCUCGCGCGAUUGGAGCGGCCGAUGUCAGAUUAGGUAGUUGGUGGGGUAAAGGCUCACCAAGCCAACGAUCUGUAGCUGGUCUGAGAGGACGACCAGCCACACUGGGACUGAGACACGGCCCAGACUCCUACGGGAGGCAGCAGUGGGGAAUUUUGGACAAUGGGCGCAAGCCUGAUCCAGCAAUGCCACGUGCAGGAAGAAGGCCUUCGGGUUGUAAACUGCUUUUGUACGGAACGAAACGGCUCUGGUUAAUACCCGGGGCUAAUGACGGUACCGUAAGAAUAAGCACCGGCUAACUACGUG
This 482-nucleotide ribosomal RNA is filed under the name uncultured bacterium. Its description in RNAcentral is "partial 16S ribosomal RNA". It matches the Rfam family "Bacterial small subunit ribosomal RNA", at positions 30 to 507 of the family's 1533-position model. The record is from RNAcentral.